GUUCUUGUAGUUGAAUACAACAAUGGUGUUUCAAACCAUAAGUUUCGGUUAAAAUCCGGGCAGGAAUU
Molecule: transfer RNA, 68 nt
Filed under: Megalamphodus sweglesi
Lineage: Eukaryota; Metazoa; Chordata; Actinopteri; Characiformes; Acestrorhamphidae
Description: Hyphessobrycon sweglesi tRNA-Glu
Rfam family: tRNA
About the family: Transfer RNA (tRNA) molecules are approximately 80 nucleotides in length. Their secondary structure includes four short double-helical elements and three loops (D, anti-codon, and T loops).
Source: RNAcentral